This 253-nucleotide ribosomal RNA is filed under the name uncultured bacterium. RNAcentral's name for it is "partial 16S ribosomal RNA". It matches the Rfam family "Bacterial small subunit ribosomal RNA", at positions 524 to 776 of the family's 1533-position model. The record is from RNAcentral.
GACGAACCGUGCGAACGUUGUUCGGAAUCACUGGGCUUAAAGGGCGCGUAGGCGGGCCGGCAAGUCGGGGGUGAAAUCCUCCAGCUCAACUGGAGAACUGCUUCCGAUACUGCCGGUCUCGAGUGGGGUAGGGGCAUGCGGAACGACGGGUGGAGCGGUGAAAUGCGUUGAUAUCCGUCGGAACUCCGGUGGCGAAGGCGGCAUGCUGGACCUCUACUGACGCUGAGGCGCGAAAGCCAGGGGAGCGAACGGG